CCUACGGGUGGCAGCAGUGAGGAAUAUUGGUCAAUGGGCGAGAGCCUGAACCAGCCAAGCCGCGUGAAGGAAGAAGGCGCCAAGCGUCGUAAACUUCUUUUGUCGGGGAACAAAGGGCGCCACGUGUGGCGUUGUGAGUGUACCCGAAGAAAAAGCAUCGGCUCACUCCGUUCCAGCCGCCGCGGUAAUACAGAGGAUGCGAGCGUUAUCCGGAGUUAUUGGGUUUAACGGGUGCGUAGGCGGUCCGGAAAGUCAGCGGGAAAAGCCCGGGGCUCAACCCCGGCGAGCCGUUGAAACUGUCGGACUAGAGAAGGCGAGAAGUAAGCGGAAUGCGCGGUGUAGCGGUGAAAUGCAUAGAUAUCGUGCAGAACUCCGAUUGCGAAGGCAGCGUACCGGCGUCUGACUGACGCUGAGGCACGAAAGCGUGGGUAUCGAACAGGAUUAGAUACCCUGGUAGUC
This 459-nucleotide ribosomal RNA is filed under the name uncultured bacterium. Its description in RNAcentral is "partial 16S ribosomal RNA". It matches the Rfam family "Bacterial small subunit ribosomal RNA", at positions 338 to 795 of the family's 1533-position model. The record is from RNAcentral.